UACGGGGGGAGCAAGCGUUGUUCGGAUUUACUGGGCGUAAAGGGCGCGUAGGCGGUCGUGACAAGUCACUUGUGAAAUCUCCGGGCUUAACUCGGAACGGUCAAGUGAUACUGUCGGACUAGAGUACAGAAGGGGCAACUGGAAUUCUCGGUGUAGCGGUGAAAUGCGUAGAUAUCGAGAGGAACACCUGCGGCGAAGGCGGAUCUCUGGGCCUUACCUGACGCUGAGGAGCGAAAGCAUGGGGAGCAAACAGG
This 254-nucleotide ribosomal RNA is filed under the name uncultured bacterium. Its description in RNAcentral is "partial 16S ribosomal RNA". It matches the Rfam family "Bacterial small subunit ribosomal RNA", at positions 524 to 776 of the family's 1533-position model. The record is from RNAcentral.